Molecule: ribosomal RNA, 492 nt
Filed under: uncultured bacterium
Lineage: Bacteria
Description: partial 16S ribosomal RNA
Rfam family: Bacterial small subunit ribosomal RNA
Source: RNAcentral
AGUGAACGCUGGCGGUAGGCCUAACACAUGCAAGUCGAACGGCAGCACAGUAAGAGCUUGCUCUUACGGGUGGCGAGUGGCGGACGGGUGAGGAAUACAUCGGAAUCUACUUUUUCGUGGAGGAUAACGUAGGGAAACUUACGCUAAUACCGCAUACGACCUACGGGUGAAAGCAGGGGAUCUUCGGACCUUGCGCGAUUGAAUGAGCCGAUGUCGGAUUAGCUAGUUGGCGGGGUAAAGGCCCACCAAGGCGACGAUCCGUAGCUGGUCUGAGAGGAUGAUCAGCCACACUGGAACUGAGACACGGUCCAGACUCCUACGGGAGGCAGCAGUGGGGAAUAUUGGACAAUGGGCGCAAGCCUGAUCCAGCCACACCGCGUGGGUGAAGAAGGCCUUCGGGUUGUAAAGCCCUUUUGUUGGGAAAGAAAAGCAGCAGGUUAAUACCCCGCUGUUCUGACGGUACCCAAAGAAUAAGCACCGGCUAACUUCGUG